This 29-nucleotide non-coding RNA is filed under the name Rattus norvegicus (Norway rat). Lineage: Eukaryota; Metazoa; Chordata; Mammalia; Rodentia; Muridae. The record is from RNAcentral.
UGAUAGCUGUUUGUUGUUUCAUGCUUGGC